This 253-nucleotide ribosomal RNA is filed under the name uncultured bacterium. Its description in RNAcentral is "partial 16S ribosomal RNA". It matches the Rfam family "Bacterial small subunit ribosomal RNA", at positions 524 to 776 of the family's 1533-position model. The record is from RNAcentral.
UACAGAGGUCUCAAGCGUUGUUCGGAUUCAUUGGGCGUAAAGGGUGCGUAGGCGGCGCGGUAAGUCGGGUGUGAAAUCUUGGAGCUUAACUCCGAAAUUGCACCGGAUACUGCGUGACUCGAGGACUGUAGAGGAGAUCGGAAUUCACGGUGUAGCAGUGAAAUGCGUAGAUAUCGUGAGGAAGACCAGUUGCGAAGGCGGAUCUCUGGGCAGUUCCUGACACUGAGGCACGAAGGCCAGGGGAGCAAACGGG